UGCAUUGCAGUUUGUUUCCUGAAGGCUGAGAUUUUUGAAGUUGCACAGUUUGAAUUCUGGUGAGGGGCAAUAAUAAUUCCUGUAUGUUUCCCUAGAACUGACUUCUGAAAUUCUUUAUGCCCAGCCUCCUUUCACAUUCUACUCAUCAGAUUGUUAUAGACAUAUAAAGCACUAAGAUAUGAUUGUGAACCAUUCAGGGAUAAACUCUUCCUAGAAAGGGAGAAGUGUGGUGUCUACGUGUAUCCCUGCUGGUCAACUUUAAAUAUCAGUUAAAGGCCUCGGGGAAUCGAUGAUAUGAAGUGAAGACAUAUUGAUACAAAUUCCAAGCCUGCGAUUGAAGAUGGCGCAAAAAUAGCUGUGCUUAAUCCAUAGUAGACGUGCCUUGCUUCUACUGCUGGAUUUGAGCAGGAACAGAUCCAAAAUCAUGUCACUGUUCCCAUUUCUGUGCCACAGAGUAAUGACAUUUAAUCAGGAAUAUUACUACACUCUUUCAGUGACAGCUGAGACACAAAACCAGCCAGCUGAUGCAAUCCUGUCCCACCGCUGGGGGCAUAUAAACAGCCCCACAAACAAGAAAGCAGUCUUACCUCCUCUAUAGCAUCAGAGGAUUCUUUAAGGAAAUAAGGCCUGCAGACACUGAAACUGGAAUCACCUAGCCUCCUUCAGCCUUCUAGAACCAUCUAAUAGUUUCUAAGAAUCUUUCCAGCCACGGGAGGAUUAAGGAAGAGACUGUUCUAGAACCUGAGAACAAUGAGAGUGUAGUCACCAGGUGUGAGGCAACAUAAAGCCUGCAGAAUACAACUGCUACAGCUCCUGUUUGGGUAGAUCGAUGGCCUAUAAUUACCUGGGAAUUACUUGGACACAAAUCAAUGGUGUAUUACGUCCCAUUCAUAAUGAGCAUGACAUUGCAAGGUCUUCACUCAACCCUGAUCUGGACCAAGAUUGACAUCUCUGAGAUAAAAGGCUCCGGGUUCCAUUAGAUGUCAUCUGCUUGGCUGGCCUACUCCUUAGGCCACGCCCCAUGGGAUCUAGCCACGUUUUGAUGACAUCCAUCAAGUUCAGGAUUCCAGCUCAACAGUUUGCAGCAAUUUCUCUAUCUUGACUUUUACUGUUCUUCCCAAGACGGUGGCUUCUUGCUACCCAGAUUACAAGUAUGAAUCAAAGGACAAGAAUGACAAAAGGAGGGAAGCAGAAAGAUUACUCUGAAGAACUACAGGUAUCAUCGGCACUCAGGCAUCAUCAGAAAUGUCGAAUCUCAAGCAGAGAGUCCUGACACCAAUUCUAUUAACCAAAACUGGAACGUGUGUUUACUGGUCCACCUCUGAAAGAGACAACACCUCUGUAUGCAUGAUGGAAACCUUAAACAGCACAUGACACGCGCUGGUCUAUAUUCUGAGCCAUGGUGGUUUAGGCACCACUCGUUGGCAUUUCACGUCGUGACCAAUCGUUACACAUUUAGUUUUAAAUUAAUUUUCACUGAACAUUCAGAAGCUUUUACUGGUAUGAUUUUGUGUGCGUGUGUGUGUGUGUGUGUGUGUGUGUGUGUGUGUGUGACCUCUACACUCAGCCACAUGGGCCCAUCUGAGGUCCUGAACCAGUGUUAGAGACUGGGCUUCAUGCAGCACUAUUUGACUAACGUAACAGCACGGUCUUCUUCAACAAUGGGGAUGAUCACUACUGCUGUCUGUGAGCCCCUGCUUAAUGACUCUGCUCACAAAUCCCCCAUGUCCCAGGCUUCUCUUCUGAAGGACUGGACAAAGAUUCCCUCACCCACACCUUCUGGGCCAAGGCAGAGAUGGACUAAGUACCAGGACUUCCUGGGGAGCCACCCCUUCCUACAGGGCGCAUGCACUGGUUUGCUUUGCAGGCUGCUGCCUCCUGUGAAUUCACACCAUGCGCUUGAAGACAAUGGAACAUAUUAAAGGCAUCUGUUUGUGUAGCAUCUCAAAAAAAGGUAUCACGUCAGAGACUGCAGUCCAUCAUUAAAGAAUCUGUGAUGAAAA
Non-coding RNA from Rattus norvegicus (Norway rat), 2003 nucleotides. The record is from RefSeq and is a predicted model, not a curated record. Lineage: Eukaryota; Metazoa; Chordata; Mammalia; Rodentia; Muridae.